RNAcentral lists this ribosomal RNA (300 nucleotides) under Ochromonas sp. CCMP1393. RNAcentral's name for it is "partial Bacterial small subunit ribosomal RNA". It matches the Rfam family "Bacterial small subunit ribosomal RNA", at positions 1209 to 1508 of the family's 1533-position model. The record is from RNAcentral. Lineage: Eukaryota; Chrysophyceae; Chromulinales; Chromulinaceae.
UAGGGCUACACACGUGCUACAAUGGCAGGUAUAACGCGUUGCCAACUCGCGAGAGUGCGCUAAUCGCUAAAAGCCUGUCCCAGUUCAGAUUGUAGUCUGCAACUCGACUACAUGAAGUUGGAAUCGCUAGUAAUCGCAGAUCAGCAUUGCUGCGGUGAAUACGUUCCCGGGUCUUGUACACACCGCCCGUCAAACCAUGGGAGUAAAUUGCACCCAAAGACGCAACGCCGCGCCAAUGCGGUUUGUGUUUAAGGUGUGGCUUAUGACUGGGGUUAAGUCGUAACAAGGUAACUGUACCGG